RNAcentral lists this ribosomal RNA (497 nucleotides) under uncultured bacterium. RNAcentral's name for it is "partial 16S ribosomal RNA". It matches the Rfam family "Bacterial small subunit ribosomal RNA", at positions 28 to 507 of the family's 1533-position model. The record is from RNAcentral.
GAUGAACGCUGGCGGCGUGCCUAAUACAUGCAAGUCGAGCGAACAGAUAAGGAGCUUGCUCCUUUGACGUUAGCGGCGGACGGGUGAGUAACACGUGGGUAACCUACCUAUAAGACUGGGAUAACUUCGGGAAACCGGAGCUAAUACCGGAUAACAUUUGGAACCGCAUGGUUCUAAAGUGAAAGAUGGUUUUGCUAUCACUUAUAGAUGGACCCGCGCCGUAUUAGCUAGUUGGUAAGGUAACGGCUUACCAAGGCAACGAUACGUAGCCGACCUGAGAGGGUGAUCGGCCACACUGGAACUGAGACACGGUCCAGACUCCUACGGGAGGCAGCAGUAGGGAAUCUUCCGCAAUGGGCGAAAGCCUGACGGAGCAACGCCGCGUGAGUGAUGAAGGGUUUCGGCUCGUAAAACUCUGUUAUUAGGGAAGAACAAACGAGUAAGUAACUGUGCACGUCUUGACGGUACAUAAUCAGAAAGCCACGGCUAACUACGUG